RNAcentral lists this ribosomal RNA (124 nucleotides) under uncultured bacterium. Its description in RNAcentral is "partial 16S ribosomal RNA". The record is from RNAcentral.
AGCCGGGGCUUCUUCUGCGGGUACCGUCAUUAUCUUCCCCGCUGAAAGAGCUUUACAACCCUAGGGCCUUCUUCACUCACGCGGCAUGGCUGGAUCAGGGUUUCCCCCAUUGUCCAAUAUUCCC